Molecule: long non-coding RNA, 1550 nt
Organism: Gadus morhua (Atlantic cod)
Lineage: Eukaryota; Metazoa; Chordata; Actinopteri; Gadiformes; Gadidae
Source: Ensembl
CAGAUACUCACCUCAUGUUAUCCAUAAUAGGUUACAAGACGGCUGGAACAGCUGGAUGAAAGGCCUCCCUGCAUGAUAGACCAUCCAGGUUUAGAACCGGUUUGUCUGAAUGUGUUCUCGCUGCAGAACGCAUGCAACAUCUACAGCGCUGACUACGGUCCUUUGCGACUACGGGGGAUAGAGCAGUUAGUUUUACAUAUAAUAACCUACUUGACUGUUCAUACACAAUCAACUAAAUAAAGUCAGACAAAGCCACAAUUUCACAUCAUAUUUUAACAUAGCCAAUUUUUUCAUAAGCAGAUACUGCAUAUUACGCAUUAAUUCACAUAAAACAUUGUACAGAUACAAUAACAGGGAUGCAAACACAUGUAUGACAAAAAAAAGGAGCUACCCGAAGUCGGAAAAAAUAUGACGGCAUGAUAUCCUAUUAUCAUGAGAAGGCCUAUGCUAUAUGCUAUAUGCCUAGAAAGAUAAAAAAUAUAUAUUAGUUACUCAGUUAAAGUGCCUUUUUAAACUAAGUAAAUUUAUUUUCACACACACACAAACACACACCUCUGCAUUGGAUAUGCGAUCACAUCUGCUGAUCUUAUCUGCUGCUUAGGGGGUUUCUGAAAGAGGAGAAGCUGUGCAACACUUUGUGUAGUUAUUGUUGUUGUCACUUUCCUCCGAUGAAUGUCUGCCUCACCCGGGGAUUCCACCGGACGCGUUUUUACGGCAACGUUAGGGCCCUAGGCGGCUGCAUGCUUCAGCGUUGGUGUUACGUUGUUGCGCAAAAUUUACUCAAAGCAAUUCAUGCUCCCUUUUAGGUUGCGCGUGUUGCGCGUGUUGCCAAGCAAUUUACCGCCAGAACAGUAGGUGGAGUAAUAUGUGGAGUAAAGUUUUUCGUUGAAGACGACCUCGAGAAUGACGUCUUUGUCUGUGGGAGUCGUUGGUUUGUUUAUGUGCCAAAGUUUGAUGAUCUCCUUUCGCGAGUCAUCCGAUAUCUUCCCGACUCUCACCAAAACCGGCCCUUAUCAGGGAGCAGCUGGCAGAUUAUUUUUUGUCAGAUGCUGGCGUGUUUCCCCACCAGUACAAUGUGCUACGAUUGGGUAUGCGCACUGACCAAUAAAUAUAUAUACAUUGGUCAGUGCGCAUACCCAAUCGUAGCACAUUGUACUGGUGGGGAAACACGCCAGCAUCUGACAAAAAAUAAUCUGCCAGCUGCUCCCUGACAAGGGCCGGUUUUGGUGAGUCUGGAAGAUAUCGGAUGACUCGCGAAAGGAGAUCAUCAAACAUCCGAAAAUACUGGAAAUGCCUCUCCUCGUCCAUGCUUCGCAUUGGAAGCACCAGAGAAACAAAUUCCCCAUCCUGAUCUCGUGUGGUAUUUAAAGGGCGCACAUACCACCGCCUAUCUCUGCGCUUCAUCACUCUUCUUCCGUAGCCACUUUGAUCGGAACGUCACCUGGAACGUCCCCCCGCGAAAACACCGGUGACUCUGCUGCCACCUAUGGCGUGAGUGGUGUAUUGCAUGUCAUGCAUUGCCCGCGACGUUCGCGUAUGCUGUGUAGACU